Molecule: ribosomal RNA, 497 nt
Filed under: uncultured bacterium
Lineage: Bacteria
Description: partial 16S ribosomal RNA
Rfam family: Bacterial small subunit ribosomal RNA
Source: RNAcentral
GACGAACGCUGGCGGCGUGCCUAACACAUGCAAGUCGAGCGGAGUCAGUAAGAGGAAGUUUUCGGAUGGAAUCUUAUUGAUUUAGCGGCGGACGGGUGAGUAACGCGUGAGCGACCAACCUUGCACAGGGGGAUAACGGACCGAAAGGUUCACUAAUACCGCAUAAGACCACGGUGUUGCAUGACACAGAGGUCAAAGGAGCAAUCCGGUGCAAGACGGGCUCGCGUCCGAUUGGUAGUUGGAGGGGUAACGGCCCACCAAGCCUAUGAUCGGUAGGCGACCUGGGAGGGUGAUCGGCCACAUUGGAACUGAGAUACGGUCCAAACUCCUACGGGAGGCAGCAGUGGGGAAUAUUGGGCAAUGGGGGAAACCCUGACCCAGCAACGCCGCGUGAAGGAAGAAGGUUUUCGGAUUGUAAACUUCUGUCCUUGGUGAAGAGAAGAAGACGGUAGCCAAGGAGGAAGCCCCGGCUAACUACGUGCCAGCAGCCGCCGUAA